Prionailurus viverrinus (fishing cat) is the source of this 1379-nucleotide long non-coding RNA. RefSeq lists it as uncharacterized. The record is from RefSeq and is a predicted model, not a curated record. NCBI's taxonomy places the organism in Eukaryota, Metazoa, Chordata, Mammalia, Carnivora, Felidae. The transcript is spliced from 3 exons.
AGGUUCUUCAAUGGACACCAUGAUUAAGAACAUUGUUUUCAGAGUCUGGAAGUUCUGGGUUUGAGCCAAGGCUCUGCCACUGACUACCUGUAUGACAGAGGAAUAAAAAGUCUGCAUCCUUGCCACUCCCCAUCUGCGCUUGAAAGUACAAUUCAGUGAAUUAUUGGAUAAUUUGAAAGGAUGACCUCAUGGAAUGAAUUGCUGGGUCACUUCUAAGUUGCGUCAGUGUGCGUGUGGAGCAGUUUUCAAGAUAGCAACAUGUCCGCAUCAGAGAAGCUCCAAGGCUGCGUUGGCCUUAGGUGCUGCCUGAUUUCAUCUGUAAAGUCUGUGUGAAACCGGUGUCUUUAUCAGUUGCUGGAUAAAAAGAUAUUGCCAAAGGAUUUUGAAAUGGUCCAAACAAAGUUUGAUACAAGUACCUAUCCCGCUCUUAAAAUGUGCUUAUUAAAUAGAAAGAUAGUCUAUAAUACCAUCACCUAUGGCUUAAUGAACUUGUUUCAUGUGAUUCAUUUUUCUUUUUAAUGAAAGCAUAUGACGCUGUUCAUGACAUGAAUUGACUGUCACAUAGGGACAAGUGUUGUAAUAUCACCUUCCACAUUCGAGUCAAUUAGCUUCAGCCUGAAAGACGUAAAAAACACAGCCUAAUUGGAUUGAAAUUGACCUAACACAACAAUAUUUAGAUAAAACAACAAAUGGAAAGGAGUAUUGGAGAGGGAUUUGCUCAUCAUUAGUAUCAGACAUUUUCCUACACUCAGUUUCUUGGUUGAGGGUUUUGGGUUAGUAGUUUUAGCUCUAUUGUUUAUGUAAUCAUUAAAUGUCGAGGCUCAAAAGCCCCACUUCCUUUCUCAAAAUAUGAUGGCUUAGGCAAAUCAUUUCCUCCAGCUUGUGUGUGUGUGUGUGUGUUUUAGAAAUCUAUUGUUCUGAUCCAUAUGACCCUAGUUUAUUUCUUUCCAAAAUGAAUUCUAAUGAGCCAAGAUACUAAUAGAGAAAUAGAUUCUAUGAUGUGCUAUGAAAGCUCAUGCCAGGGUUUAAUAGUAGACAUCAGUGGUGGAUUUCAUGCAGUUGUUUCCACUAUAUAGACUGAUUUAAACAGCAACAGAUAGGUAACUUUUUAAAUUUCAAUAUAGCACGUCCCUUGUGAAAAUCCUUCUCAGAAGUUAAUCUGUAAGCAAUUUACUUUUUCCUACUUGCUGUGAAUGCGGUUUUAUCUUCUUUUUCUUAAUUUCAUCUUAAUACCUGACUUUCCCUUACGUAGCCCAGCUCCCCCUUUCAUACAUAGAGAGUGAAUUAACUAAAAGUAGUAUUUAUGACAUUGUUUACAUUAUCAGUAACUUAAUUUGACCAGGAUUUAUAGCUAGACUGGUUUAAAACAAAUAGCUUCA